CUCCCCAUCCCCUUCAUGCGUCUCCCUCUCUCUCAUUUUCUCUGUUUGAAAACAGAGGUAGACACCGACGACUUCUCCAAGCCACACCGCUGCCGUCCGGCAACUCCUCACCAUGGGACCGCCAUCACCGUGACCACAUCCAUCUCCUCUCUCCAACGGUGCCAGCAUCUUCGACAUGCAGCUUAACUCCGACAAGUUCAAGCUUUGAGCUAGGGGAGAAUUGACGCCGUUUUCCCAAGCUUCGGCGACUUUGCGGAGCAACUCUUGAGGCGAUUGUUGGCUUCUAGGCUCGUAGUGGAGCUUGCUGCAGCAGGAGGAAGACUUGGGAGGUGAGGAGCAAGUCGUGGUAGCACAGAUCGGAGGUGGGGAAGCUUGGUGGCAACGAGACCGAUAGCGAUCGUCCAUUGAGUGACUUGAGGGACGUGAAUCUACGCGGGGCACGAGGAGCGAGACUUUGGGCACGGACUUCGGCACUGCUAUCUCAGGUAGGGUGAGCCGCCCGCUAGGGUGAGCCGGUACCUUCCUGGUUAGUGGUUUUCUAUAUAUAAAAUGUAUAUGUUGUACGUCUUUGUCGCAUGCUUGCAUUCAUUUGCACUUUACUUUGGUCGUAUUAUCUCGAGACUGACCAUUUUAUUUUAUGCAUGUUUAUAAGUCGGUGAUUCCGUGUACUGAUGUCUGACACCGCAUGUUUUAUUAUUAUAUGGUGAAUCCCGCGUCCUGAUGU
Molecule: long non-coding RNA, 724 nt
Organism: Argentina anserina (silverweed cinquefoil)
Lineage: Eukaryota; Viridiplantae; Streptophyta; Magnoliopsida; Rosales; Rosaceae
Exons: 3
Source: RefSeq, a predicted model, not a curated record